RNAcentral lists this ribosomal RNA (425 nucleotides) under uncultured bacterium. RNAcentral describes it as "partial 16S ribosomal RNA". It matches the Rfam family "Bacterial small subunit ribosomal RNA", at positions 354 to 796 of the family's 1533-position model. The record is from RNAcentral.
GUGGGGAAUCUUAGACAAUGGGGGAAACCCUGAUCUAGCCAUGCCGCGUGAGCGAUGAAGGCCUUAGGGUUGUAAAGCUCUUUCAGCUGGGAAGAUAAUGACGGUACCAGCAGAAGAAGCCCCGGCUAACUCCGUGCCAGCAGCCGCGGUAAUACGGAGGGGGCUAGCGUUGUUCGGAAUUACUGGGCGUAAAGCGCACGUAGGCGGAUCAGAAAGUCAGAGGUGAAAUCCCAGGGCUCAACCUUGGAACUGCCUUUGAAACUCCUGGUCUUGAGGUCGAGAGAGGUGAGUGGAAUUCCGAGUGUAGAGGUGAAAUUCGUAGAUAUUCGGAGGAACACCAGUGGCGAAGGCGGCUCACUGGCUCGAUACUGACGCUGAGGUGCGAAAGCGUGGGGAGCAAACAGGAUUAGAUACCCCUGUAGUCC